This 1307-nucleotide long non-coding RNA is filed under the name Macaca nemestrina (pig-tailed macaque). RNAcentral's name for it is "lncRNA (ENSMNEG00000046026.1)". Lineage: Eukaryota; Metazoa; Chordata; Mammalia; Primates; Cercopithecidae. The record is from RNAcentral.
AUGAUGCUCGGCCCAUGGACAGAGCCUGCCCAGUCACCCCCCUGGCCAUUUCCCUCCUGUCCCUUCUGCUCCAGGACAGCCCAAGGAGCAGAAAAGAGUGAUAAGGCCGUGAAAGGAGGCACCUGGGGCGGAGCCGGCUCUAGGAGGUUACCCCAUGCGGAGUACACACUCAGCUACACCCGUUCCGGAAGAGGGAGGAAAGAGCACCCCUGGACUCUGCCGGUCCCAGAGGCCACGCAAACUCCGCCCAGACUCGCAUUGCACCCUCCAGAAAGGCUGAACUUGUUUACAGUUCCGUUAGCACUGGAUGAGAAUGUGGGCUCCUCGGAUUCCAGCCAGCCCUGGGCCACUGCUUCUCUCUUUGAGCCACCAGCUCUCAAUCUGGGGCUUGGCUUUGAAGCGAAGGUUGCUAAGCCUCUAAAUCCUGAUGCACACCAAUGUCGUUUCCCCACUCAUCUGGAAACCUGGUGGGUCCUGCCCAAACACCUGUCAGUUCCACCUCCUGCUUGGCUGCCACCAUGCCAACAGUUUCCACUCAAGCCUUUCAGCUCUGCUUUGGGCACCUGAAGACAGAGUGAAUCAUCUUUCAAGAGUCACAAACUUUGCACAUGCCAUUCCCUCUGGUGAAAAUGCUUUUCCCUUUCUCCCAACUGCCUUAUCAUCAGUCUGCAAAAUAUUUAUUUCUGUUCCUAAAAAUCUCAGAUAUCACUUCUCCAGGAGCUUUCCCAGAUGCCUCACUUUAUUCCAGAAGGAGCUAUCACCACUUUUGCCUGGGAAGUCCGUUUUCACGGUUACACUUAUACGCUAUGGCAAUUUAUUGGUGAUUUGUCUGUCUCCUCUAUCAACAGUGAAUUACUCAUCUAUCCCUGGAAACCUGGAACUGCUCAAUAAAUGUUUGUGGUGUGAAUAUACAUAUUAUUCUCUUCUGCCCUUUGUUUUUUUUUUUUAAAUACCCUUCAAGGCCCUGCUCGGGUGUCACCUCCUUUGUGUAGCUUUCCUGGAUUCACUUCCCUGGUAGAAUUAAUCAUGCCUUCUGCAUUCCCAUGGCACUUUGUGUGUGAUUUCAUUACAGCACUUGCCAAAUUGCCUCAUAUUUCCUUAUCAGUCUAUCUGGGGUUACCACAUUGCACAACUCCAGGGAACACAAUUUACAUUAAAUCAAGCAAUGCAGAGAUGGCACCUGUAUUUGCCAACUAGGCAGUGACCUUCUGCAGAGCAGACCCCGUGACUUUACUAAUACCCUGCAUACAAUGUGCUUUUCUUGUCCACGUUACUGUCCAUUUAGAAUAGGUAUGCAAUAAACAUGC